AAUUGAUCAACAGGAUCCAAAAUUGUAAUUCGAGCCCACCGACUUCACGAUGUGUCCUUAAAACGAAUUUGCUGCCUUCAAUGGUGCUAAAGGCGUCCAGCAAUCGUUUCCCAGGAUAGAACGAAUUUUUCGUCUCCUACGGAAGCAGCACUGCAGUCUGUAGGAGUUCCAACGAACUCAACGAAGUGUUUUUUACUUCGAGACAAUAUCAGAACGAGAGAGAGAGGGAAAUGAGAUUCAAAGCACAGAAAGUUUGCAAUGAAAAUGGUGUAAAUUUUCUAGUAGAAAGGCUGGCUAUUUAUAGACUUGUUCGUGGCCAUUCGAACAGUCAUCACCUUU
Molecule: long non-coding RNA, 339 nt
Filed under: Olea europaea (common olive)
Lineage: Eukaryota; Viridiplantae; Streptophyta; Magnoliopsida; Lamiales; Oleaceae
Description: long non-coding RNA (OEUR_LNC014449)
Source: RNAcentral